RNAcentral lists this ribosomal RNA (305 nucleotides) under uncultured bacterium. RNAcentral describes it as "bacterial SSU rRNA". It matches the Rfam family "Bacterial small subunit ribosomal RNA", at positions 334 to 639 of the family's 1533-position model. The record is from RNAcentral.
AUUACCUACGGGACGCAGCAGUGGGGAAUAUUGCACAAUGGGGGAAACCCUGAUGCAGCGACGCCGCGUGAGUGAAGAAGUAUUUCGGUACGUAAAGCUCUAUCAGCAGGGAAGAAAAAAAGUCCUUUGGACUUUGGACGGUACCUGACCAAGAAGCCCCGGCUAACUACGUGCCAGCAGCCGCGGUAAUACGUAGGGGGCAAGCGUUAUCCGGAUUUACUGGGUGUAAAGGGAGCGUAGACGGCAGCGCAAGUCUGGCGUGAAAUGCCGGGGCCCAACCCCGGAACUGCUUUGGACACUUUGCC